RNAcentral lists this ribosomal RNA (473 nucleotides) under Escherichia coli. RNAcentral describes it as "bacterial SSU rRNA". It matches the Rfam family "Bacterial small subunit ribosomal RNA", at positions 1 to 470 of the family's 1533-position model. The record is from RNAcentral. RNAcentral also lists the same sequence under 2 other names. Lineage: Bacteria; Pseudomonadati; Pseudomonadota; Gammaproteobacteria; Enterobacterales; Enterobacteriaceae.
AAAUUGAAGAGUUUGAUCAUGGCUCAGAUUGAACGCUGGCGGCAGGCCUAACACAUGCAAGUCGAACGGUAACAGGAAUCAGCUUGCUGAUUCGCUGACGAGUGGCGGACGGGUGAGUAAUGUCUGGGAAACUGCCUGAUGGAGGGGGAUAACUACUGGAAACGGUAGCUAAUACCGCAUAACGUCGCAAGACCAAAGAGGGGGACCUUCGGGCCUCUUGCCAUCGGAUGUGCCCAGAUGGGAUUAGCUAGUAGGUGGGGUAACGGCUCACCUAGGCGACGAUCCCUAGCUGGUCUGAGAGGAUGACCAGCCACACUGGAACUGAGACACGGUCCAGACUCCUACGGGAGGCAGCAGUGGGGAAUAUUGCACAAUGGGCGCAAGCCUGAUGCAGCCAUGCCGCGUGUAUGAAGAAGGCCUUCGGGUUGUAAAGUACUUUCAGCGGGGAGGAAGGGAGUAAAGUUAAUACCUUU